Molecule: long non-coding RNA, 1006 nt
Filed under: Glycine max (soybean)
Lineage: Eukaryota; Viridiplantae; Streptophyta; Magnoliopsida; Fabales; Fabaceae
Description: long non-coding RNA (GMAX_LNC003391)
Source: RNAcentral
UAAAAUCAACAUAAAUUUUCACUGCCAAGCCUCAAUAGUCUACUUGCGGAGAAGAAUUCAUUAUUUGUGUUAUAAAAUUAAAGUAAGUCUUUCAAGAUUUUUUACAUGAGUAAUUUGAUUGGCUUACAAACUUACAAUUUUUUUUUUUGUAAAAUUAAAAUAAAUCUUUGAAGAUUUCUUAACUUAAAUAAAUUAUAAAUUUGAAUUAAAAUAUGUAUGAAUAUAAUUACAGUAAUUAAUUUGAAUGAGAAUAUAAAAUUUUAUGAAUUAAAAUAUUCAAAUCAUAAAAAAAAACAUAAUUACCUUAAUCAACAUAAUUAUGUAUUUAUAAAUUAAUAGAUGGAUAAAAAAAUCAUUUGCAUUUUUUCCUAAAAUCUUCUUAUAUAUAAUUGAUUAAGAAAACAAGUUAUUGCAGGCUGGUGUGAAUAUGGCAGGAAGUGACGAAGGCAUGCAAGACUUGGAGAACAACGUUAGUAGCACUAUUACUACUCAUUCUACAUCAAAUGAAAGCACUACUACUAAUCAAGAAAAAGGAAAAGAGAUUGACACUACAACUGCUAAUCCAGAAAACAACAUUGGAGUAUUUUCAGGUGUGAUUGAUACGGAAGAAGUUAGAGGAAUGAUGGUGUCUGAUCCAUUUAUUAAACAAACUGUUGAGUCCUUUUUGAAAUAUUCAGAGCCAGAGAACAAAGAAGACAGUCAAAAUGAUGCCAACCAAGGAUCAACAAUUGCACCUGCUAAGCAUACCAAAACACCAUAAGGAAAGAAGAUGUAGUCACAACUUCCUGAAAAUUUAAUUCAUAGUCUUGGAUUAGGAGUUUUUUUUCUCUCUCUAGUGUUUUUAAUAUAAAUAGUCCAUUAGCAUGUAUACUUAGUGAGGUCCAUCAACAUGUGUUCUAGUUAUAAAUAUAGUAAUGUUUUUAUUUAUUUAUUUUUAGGUUAAUAGGAAAGAUAUAUGAGGAAGACACAGGUAAGUUUGUUGUAUUUGGUUAAAAUAUGUGUAUGG